Molecule: ribosomal RNA, 496 nt
Filed under: uncultured bacterium
Lineage: Bacteria
Description: partial 16S ribosomal RNA
Rfam family: Bacterial small subunit ribosomal RNA
Source: RNAcentral
AUGAACGCUGGCGGCGUGCCUUAUACAUGCAAGUCGAGCGCACAGACGAGGAGCUUGCUCCUCUGACGUUAGCGGCGGACGGGUGAGUAACCCGUGGAUAACCUACCUAUAAGACUGGGAUAACUUCGGGAAACCGGAUCUAAUACCGGAUAAUAUAUUUAACCGCAUGGUUCAAUAGUGAAAGACGGUUUUGCUGUCACUUAUAGAUGGAUCCGCGCCGCAUUAGCUAGUUGGUAAGGUAACGGCUUACCAAGGCGACGAUGCGUAGCCGACCUGAGAGGGUGAUCGGCCACACUGGAACUGAGACACGGUCCAGACUCCUACGGGAGGCAGCAGUAGGGAAUCUUCCGCAAUGGGCGAAAGCCUGACGGAGCAACGCCGCGUGAGUGAUGAAGGUCUUCGGAUCGUAAAACUCUGUUAUUAGGGAAGAACAAAUGUGUAAGUAACUAUGCACGUCUUGACGGUACCUAAUCAGAAAGCCACGGCUAACUACGUG